Long non-coding RNA from Neofelis nebulosa (Clouded leopard), 700 nucleotides. RefSeq lists it as uncharacterized. The transcript is spliced from 3 exons. The record is from RefSeq and is a predicted model, not a curated record. Lineage: Eukaryota; Metazoa; Chordata; Mammalia; Carnivora; Felidae.
CCAAGUUAGAGUUAUACUCUGAAGAUCAUCAUUUACAAAAAAUUACUUGGCACCAUGAAGGGUCAAUUAACUCAUUCAAGAUUAAACCAAGAAUGAAGGGUACCAUCUCCUAACUCCUUGGUUCAACUGGGAUGAAGGUAUUGCCUCCAGGGGUUAAUAUAUAGCCAGUGUCUAAAAUGUUCCUGUCGUUUUAUUUUCAUGGAGGAUGGAUUUUUGAAAAUUAAGUCCACUGAGCAAAGCUGGAAGUAUACAAAGCUUCCAGCACUGCCCAUGAUGUCAACACAGAGCGAGGGAUGAGCAUAAGAAAGAAGAAGGAAAGGAAAGGAAGAAAGAAAGUCUGUGAAUGGCCCCACUUACCAGGCCUAUGAAGAUGCAGAAAAGCUGAACUACAUCCGUGUAGGCCACGGAGUACAGACCACCCACCAGCGUGUACAGAGUGGCAAUGAGCGCAGAAACAAUGACAGAAGCUUGCACAUCAACGUCAAUGAUCACGCUGAUGGUGGCUCCUGAAGAAAGCAGACAAGAGAAUGCUAUGGUCAAGGUACUCAAAUGGAUUCCACUUUCUGUUCAAGGAUACACUGAAUGUUCAGUACCAGCAGGUAGUGCCUCUGUGUCAUGUGAAAUGUAUUGGAUGAUAACAGCCAAAGUGAAUUGUCAUAUCAAAAUCUUAAAAUCUAUAAUAUAUUCUUCCUUCCUGAAA